RNAcentral lists this ribosomal RNA (94 nucleotides) under Bacteroides hominis. Its description in RNAcentral is "partial 16S ribosomal RNA". It matches the Rfam family "Bacterial small subunit ribosomal RNA", at positions 1 to 88 of the family's 1533-position model. Lineage: Bacteria; Pseudomonadati; Bacteroidota; Bacteroidia; Bacteroidales; Bacteroidaceae. The record is from RNAcentral.
CUUUUACAAUGAAGAGUUUGAUCCUGGCUCAGGAUGAACGCUAGCUACAGGCUUAACACAUGCAAGUCGAGGGGCAUCAGGAAGAAAGCUUGCU